CAGCAGGCGCGAAAUCUUUACAAUGCGGGAAACCGCGAUAAGGGGACACCGAGUGCCAGCAUUUAUGUUGGCUGUCCACAUGUGUAAACGGCAUGUGUUAGCAAGGGCCGGGCAAGACCGGUGCCAGCCGCCGCGGUAACACCGGCGGCCCGAGUGGUAAUCACUUUUAUUGGGUCCAAAGGGUCCGUAGCCGGUUUGAUCAGUUCUUCGGGAAAUCUGACAGCUCAACUGUUAGGCUUCCGGGGAAUACUGUCAGAC
This 258-nucleotide ribosomal RNA is filed under the name uncultured methanogenic archaeon. RNAcentral's name for it is "partial 16S ribosomal RNA". It matches the Rfam family "Archaeal small subunit ribosomal RNA", at positions 333 to 592 of the family's 1478-position model. Lineage: Archaea; Methanobacteriati; Methanobacteriota. The record is from RNAcentral.